This 1825-nucleotide unclassified non-coding RNA is filed under the name Polistes fuscatus (common paper wasp). Its description in RNAcentral is "protein disulfide-isomerase A6 homolog, transcript variant X1". The record is from RNAcentral. Lineage: Eukaryota; Metazoa; Arthropoda; Insecta; Hymenoptera; Vespidae.
GUAGGCUAUCGGACCUAACCACUGAUAGAAAGAACAAUCUUACUUUAUAUGGAUAAAGGACACGUUACGAUACGAGUGUAUAUUUUAUGAUUGAUAUUGAAGAAUUGUUUUCUUUUACAAAAGAAUUUUGUCAAUAAAUUUUAUUGCUAAGAAAGAUGCAGAUUCUUUUAGGUUUAUUAGUUUUAGUUACUGGUGCACAUUGUUUAUAUUCAUCUAAUUCAGAUGUCAUCGAUCUGACACCAAGUAAUUUUGAUAGUUCAGUAAUUGACAGCGAACAUAUCUGGAUCGUAGAAUUUUAUGCGCCAUGGUGCGGGCACUGUCAACAAUUUGUAUCUGAAUAUGAUAAAGCAGCAACAGCAUUAAAGGGCAUCAUCAAACUUGGAGCAGUGAAUGCAGAUGAACAUCAAUCUCUUGGGUCUAGAUUUAGCGUGCGUGGUUUUCCAACGAUUAAAAUUUUUGGUAAAGAUAAAAAUAAACCAGAAGAUUUCAAUGGUCCUCGUACAGCAGCUGGUCUCAUCGAUGCUGCUACAACUGCCAUUACUCAGAAAGCAUAUGCUAAAAUAGGUGGCAAAAAGAGUGGCGGUAGCAGUGGUGGUAGUGGUCAUAAACAAGCUAAAGAUUCUAAGGAUGUGGUGGAACUGACCGAUGAGAAUUUCGACAAAUUAGUAUUGAAUUCAGAAGAUAUGUGGUUAGUUGAAUUCUAUGCCCCGUGGUGUGGACACUGCAAAAAUUUGGCACCUAUCUGGGCUUCUGCGGCUACGGAACUUAAAGGCAAAGUAAAAUUAGGAGCUCUUGAUGCAACUGUACAUACUGUUAAGGCUAGUCAAUAUAAAAUAGUAGGAUAUCCGACUAUCAAAUACUUUCCAUUGGGCAAAAAAGGUGCUGACUCCGUACAAGAAUAUGAUGGUGGUCGUACAAGUACCGACAUUGUUAACUGGGCUUUGGAUAAACUGGCUGAGAAUAUUCCAGCACCCGAAGUUGUUCAAAUAGUCGAUGAAAAGAGUUUAAGAAGUGCAUGCCAAGAUAAACCUCUUUGUGUAGUUUCAGUAUUACCACAUAUAUUAGAUUGUCAAUCAGAAUGUAGAAAUCAGUACCUAAAAGUUUUACGCGAUCUUGGAAAAAAUUAUAAAAAGAAAAUGUGGGGAUGGGUUUGGUCAGAGGCAGGAGCUCAACCAAACAUUGAAGAAGCAUUGGAAAUUGGAGGAUUUGGUUAUCCCGCUUUGGCGGCAGUAAAUAUUAAAAAAAUGAAGUAUUCCUUAUUGAAAGGAAGUUUCUCAUACGAUGGAAUAAAUGAAUUUUUGAGAGAUUUAAGUUACGGACGUGGUGGAACCGCUCCUUUGAAAGGAGCUCAAUUACCUUCUAUAAUUGAAAUUACACCAUGGGACGGUAAAGAUGCCGAGCCUCCACAAGAAGAAGAUAUCGAUCUUACUGAUUUUAUUUUGGAUGAGAAAGACGAAUUGUAAUCAUCGAGAUAUCAAUGAAAUCUUUUUUUUGUACGGUGCUGUACUCGAUUUGUCAGCUGCGAUGCGUUUCAAUAUUGUCAUCAAUAUAUCAUUGAAAAUCGAUCUCCAAGUGGCUGGUCUCAUUUUAAAUAUACGUAUAUUAAGUUUCUCGAAAUAUCAAUGCUUGAAUUAUGGAAAAAUAUAGUGUUGCUCGUUGCCGACUAGCUGGAUAAAAAAAUUAAUUUGGAAGAUAUUUUAUACAAAAGUAUAGUCGAAAGUAUGUUUGUGUUGCAUAAAUUAUAUUUUUCCACAGUACCAAGCAUUCCUUCCAAGAAAGCCAAUUUACAUAAAUUUAUGUAAACUUCCUAAACAGAAAAAAACAA